This 542-nucleotide ribosomal RNA is filed under the name uncultured bacterium. RNAcentral's name for it is "bacterial SSU rRNA". It matches the Rfam family "Bacterial small subunit ribosomal RNA", at positions 29 to 526 of the family's 1533-position model. The record is from RNAcentral.
AAUGAACGUUGGCGGCGUGGAUUAGGCAUGCAAGUCGAGCGAGAACCAGUCCUUCACUUCGGGCAUUUAACCCCCGGUCAAUGACCGGGGGCUAAGUGAGCGAGGUGAAGGGCUGGGGACAGCGGCGAAAGGGAGAGUAACACGUAGUUACGUACCCCGAGGACCGGAAUAGCCACGGGAAACUGUGGGUAAUGCCGGAUAAUGUCCUCGGACCAAAGGUGUGAUUCCACCUCGGGAGCGGACUGCGUCGUACUAGCUAGUUGGCGGGGUAAUGGCCCACCAAGGCGAUGAUGCGUAGCGGGUGUGAGAGCAUGACCCGUCUCACUGGGACUGAGACACUGCCCAGACACCUACGGGUGGCUGCAGUCGAGAAUCUUCGGCAAUGAGCGCAAGCUUGACCGAGCGACGCCGCGUGCGGGAUGAAGGCCUUCGGGUUGUAAACCGCUUUCGGUUGGGAGGAAAUUGACUGGGGUUCUCCCCAGUUAUUGACCUAUCUUCGGAAGAAGGACGGGCUAAGUUCGUGCCAGCCGCCGCAGUAAUAC